Molecule: long non-coding RNA, 599 nt
Filed under: Marmota monax (woodchuck)
Lineage: Eukaryota; Metazoa; Chordata; Mammalia; Rodentia; Sciuridae
Source: RNAcentral
GCUAGACACGCCCCCUGGUAGGUAAGAUGAGCACAGCAGGCAAGAUUAAGACCCCCUGGGAUUGUAUCUGGGGAUGCACAGGUAAAACUUUCCCCUGGGCACCUCCAGGGGUGGCUGGGGGAUCAUCGUGCAGAGCCUGGGGGUGCAUCUUUCCCUCCCCACCUUUCGGCUCCUGUGCCAGGGUCUGCCAGGUGUCCCAAGUGGACGUGGAGGCAGCUUGGCAGAGCCAGCUCCACCCGCAGAGGCUCUGAGAGGUCCCCAACCUGGUCCAGGACCCGGCCCCGCUGCAUUCUCCAGCUGCUGGUACCCGGCUCUCCCUUUUUCAGCACUGGUGUCUACUGUCCACCAGCAAGGGCCUGGAGAAGAGAAGGACAGUCCAGCCACUCCAACGUCCAACGCCGUGUUGAACAAGCGGCCUCCAUUCCCUGGAGGUUUCAGAUGUGGACUAAGGAGACCAAACUCUACGAAUGUCCUUCCAGCUACUUUGUUCACAGCUUCCCUACGUACCGUACCGUCCACGGUUCUGAAGAGUCAGAUUCAACUGGUCUUAAUCAAAAGUAGUCAAACAUGCGUUUCUUUAAGAUCUUAAUGAUGUCCAG